RNAcentral lists this ribosomal RNA (498 nucleotides) under uncultured bacterium. RNAcentral describes it as "partial 16S ribosomal RNA". It matches the Rfam family "Bacterial small subunit ribosomal RNA", at positions 899 to 1397 of the family's 1533-position model. The record is from RNAcentral.
ACUCAAAGGAAUUGACGGGGGCCCGCACAAGCGGUGGAGCAUGUGGUUUAAUUCGACGCAACGCGAAGAACCUUACCCAGGCUUGACAUGCAUCGGACUGGUGUGGAAACACACCUUUCCUUCGGGACCGAUGCACAGGUGCUGCAUGGCUGUCGUCAGCUCGUGUCGUGAGAUGUUGGGUUAAGUCCCGCAACGAGCGCAACCCUUGUCCUUAGUUGCUAACGGAUAACGCCGAGCACUCUAAGGAGACUGCCGGUGGUAAACCGGAGGAAGGUGGGGAUGACGUCAAGUCCUCAUGGCCCUUACGCCUGGGGCUACACACGUGCUACAAUGGCCGGCACAAAGGGUUCCGAUACCGCGAGGUGGAGGUAAUCCCAAAAAACCGGUCUCAGUUCGGAUUGCAGUCUGCAACUCGACUGCAUGAAGUUGGAAUCGCUAGUAAUCGCUGAUCAGCAGGCAGCGGUGAAUACGUUCCCGGGCCUUGUACACACCGCCCGU